This 1542-nucleotide ribosomal RNA is filed under the name Escherichia coli. RNAcentral describes it as "bacterial SSU rRNA". It matches the Rfam family "Bacterial small subunit ribosomal RNA". Lineage: Bacteria; Pseudomonadati; Pseudomonadota; Gammaproteobacteria; Enterobacterales; Enterobacteriaceae. The record is from RNAcentral. RNAcentral also lists the same sequence under 1 other name.
AAAUUGAAGAGUUUGAUCAUGGCUCAGAUUGAACGCUGGCGGCAGGCCUAACACAUGCAAGUCGAACGGUAACAGGAAUCAGCUUGCUGAUUCGCUGACGAGUGGCGGACGGGUGAGUAAUGUCUGGGAAACUGCCUGAUGGAGGGGGAUAACUACUGGAAACGGUAGCUAAUACCGCAUAACGUCGCAAGACCAAAGAGGGGGACCUUCGGGCCUCUUGCCAUCAGAUGUGCCCAGAUGGGAUUAGCUAGUAGGUGGGGUAACGGCUCACCUAGGCGACGAUCCCUAGCUGGUCUGAGAGGAUGACCAGCCACACUGGAACUGAGACACGGUCCAGACUCCUACGGGAGGCAGCAGUGGGGAAUAUUGCACAAUGGGCGCAAGCCUGAUGCAGCCAUGCCGCGUGUAUGAAGAAGGCCUUCGGGUUGUAAAGUACUUUCAGCGGGGAGGAAGGGAGUAAAGUUAAUACCUUUGCUCAUUGACGUUACCCGCAGAAGAAGCACCGGCUAACUCCGUGCCAGCAGCCGCGGUAAUACGGAGGGUGCAAGCGUUAAUCGGAAUUACUGGGCGUAAAGCGCACGCAGGCGGUUUGUUAAGUCAGAUGUGAAAUCCCCGGGCUCAACCUGGGAACUGCAUCUGAUACUGGCAAGCUUGAGUCUCGUAGAGGGGGGUAGAAUUCCAGGUGUAGCGGUGAAAUGCGUAGAGAUCUGGAGGAAUACCGGUGGCGAAGGCGGCCCCCUGGACGAAGACUGACGCUCAGGUGCGAAAGCGUGGGGAGCAAACAGGAUUAGAUACCCUGGUAGUCCACGCCGUAAACGAUGUCGACUUGGAGGUUGUGCCCUUGAGGCGUGGCUUCCGGAGCUAACGCGUUAAGUCGACCGCCUGGGGAGUACGGCCGCAAGGUUAAAACUCAAAUGAAUUGACGGGGGCCCGCACAAGCGGUGGAGCAUGUGGUUUAAUUCGAUGCAACGCGAAGAACCUUACCUGGUCUUGACAUCCACAGAACUUUCCAGAGAUGGAUUGGUGCCUUCGGGAACUGUGAGACAGGUGCUGCAUGGCUGUCGUCAGCUCGUGUUGUGAAAUGUUGGGUUAAGUCCCGCAACGAGCGCAACCCUUAUCCUUUGUUGCCAGCGGUCCGGCCGGGAACUCAAAGGAGACUGCCAGUGAUAAACUGGAGGAAGGUGGGGAUGACGUCAAGUCAUCAUGGCCCUUACGACCAGGGCUACACACGUGCUACAAUGGCGCAUACAAAGAGAAGCGACCUCGCGAGAGCAAGCGGACCUCAUAAAGUGCGUCGUAGUCCGGAUUGGAGUCUGCAACUCGACUCCAUGAAGUCGGAAUCGCUAGUAAUCGUGGAUCAGAAUGCCACGGUGAAUACGUUCCCGGGCCUUGUACACACCGCCCGUCACACCAUGGGAGUGGGUUGCAAAAGAAGUAGGUAGCUUAACCUUCGGGAGGGCGCUUACCACUUUGUGAUUCAUGACUGGGGUGAAGUCGUAACAAGGUAACCGUAGGGGAACCUGCGGUUGGAUCACCUCCUUA